This 74-nucleotide transfer RNA is filed under the name Opeltia flavorubescens. RNAcentral's name for it is "tRNA-Lys (TTT) (tRNA-Lys-TTT-1-1)". It matches the Rfam family "tRNA". Rfam says of the family: Transfer RNA (tRNA) molecules are approximately 80 nucleotides in length. Their secondary structure includes four short double-helical elements and three loops (D, anti-codon, and T loops). Lineage: Eukaryota; Fungi; Ascomycota; Lecanoromycetes; Teloschistales; Teloschistaceae. The record is from RNAcentral.
ACCUCCAUGGCACAAUUGGUUAGCGCGUGAGACUUUUAAUCUCAAGGCUCGGGGUUCGAGUCCCCGUGGGGGUG